RNAcentral lists this ribosomal RNA (441 nucleotides) under uncultured bacterium. RNAcentral's name for it is "partial 16S ribosomal RNA". It matches the Rfam family "Bacterial small subunit ribosomal RNA", at positions 338 to 795 of the family's 1533-position model. The record is from RNAcentral.
CCUACGGGGAGCAGCAGUAAGGAAUUUUGCUCAAUGGCCGAAACGCUGACGCAGCAAAGCCGCGUGAGCGAUGAAGCCCUUCGGGGUGGAAAAAUCUGUCAGUAGGGACGAAACCUAACGGUACCCACAGAGGAAGCACCGGCUAACUGCGUGACAGCAGCCGGGGUAAUACGGGGGGGGCAAGUGUUGUCCGGAAUCAUUGGGCGUAAAGGGUUUGUAGGUGGCACGUUAAGUUUGGUGUUAAAGGCGGAAGUUCAACUUUCGUAGGGCAAUGGAUACUGGCAGGCUUGAAUGCGGUAGAGGUAAACGGAAUAAGUGGUGUAGCGGUGAAAUGCGUAGAUAUCAGGAGGAACACCGGUGGCGUAAGCGCUUUACUGGGCCGUAAUUGACGCUGAGGAACGAGAGCCGGGGUAGCAAAUGGGAUUAGAUACCCCAGUAGUC